Molecule: unclassified non-coding RNA, 835 nt
Filed under: Hevea brasiliensis (rubber tree)
Lineage: Eukaryota; Viridiplantae; Streptophyta; Magnoliopsida; Malpighiales; Euphorbiaceae
Source: RNAcentral
CUUCCAUUUCCUUGAUCCUUGACCUUUCCAUACCUGUGGGUAAGAUAUGAUACUUUUUGGUACAACUAAACAAGCUGCUUUUGAGAAAGUCUCCUCAGCAUACUGUCUAAGAAAUGUGAAACAACUGCUGUGUGUAUGAGGCGAUUCAAAGGCCUUAUCAAUAUUGACAACUGGAGCAUAUUUAUCAGUCUCCGUCUUUUCCUUGUCAAUAAGAAAGUAGACUCUAGGAUCAACGUUAGAAGUUUCAUGCCAUGAUUUUACAGCUGCCUCCAUUGUCUCAACAAGGAAAGAGAAAAUCUCUUUACAACACUCUUCAGACCCAAUCUUUUCAGACAGUUCAGAUUUCAAGGCAUCCAAGUGCUUUGCCAUGUCAACAUUGGAUCUUAUGCUCUCCACUUCUUGAGCUCGUUUUUUAUCUUUUGCCAAUUGGGAUAUCCUCCUUAUCUUUCUAGAUACCUCAGUGCUCUGUGGAUUGUACUGUAGAGAUGUUUGGAAAGCAGCCAAGGCAUCAUCAUACUGCUCCAUGGCCUCUAAUACACACCCUUUCCUGAAAUAACCUUUUUCCCAUUGGGGGUUCAAUGUGAUUGUUGUCUCAGCAUCAGCAAGUGCUUUAUUAAGCUUAACCAAUUGCAGAAAUGCAGCAGCACGAUUGCUAUAAAGAGUAGGAUUUGAAGGGUCAAGCUUGAUGGCCUGAGUGUAGAGAGCAGCAGCUUUAAGAUAGUUUCCCGCUUUGAAGAAUUCAUUACCCUUAUCUUUCAAUGAUAUCUUCUCCCCACAAUUGCCUUCCGUGGAGGCAUUCGCCGCUGAUCCUGCCAUAUUCAGUAGCGAAGAGGAU